UAAUACGUAGGUGGCAAGCGUUGUCCGGAUUUAUUGGGCGUAAAGCGCGCGCAGGCGGCUAUGUAAGUCUGAUGUUAAAGCCCGAGGCUCAACCUCGGUUCGCAUUGGAAACUGUGUAGCUUGAGUGCAGAAGAGGAAAGCGGUAUUCCACGUGUAGCGGUGAAAUGCGUAGAGAUGUGGAGGAACACCAGUGGCGAAGGCGGCUUUCUGGUCUGUAACUGACGCUGAGGCGCGAAAGCGUGGGGAGCAAACA
This 253-nucleotide ribosomal RNA is filed under the name uncultured prokaryote. RNAcentral describes it as "partial 16S ribosomal RNA". It matches the Rfam family "Bacterial small subunit ribosomal RNA", at positions 521 to 774 of the family's 1533-position model. The record is from RNAcentral.